RNAcentral lists this ribosomal RNA (497 nucleotides) under uncultured bacterium. RNAcentral describes it as "partial 16S ribosomal RNA". It matches the Rfam family "Bacterial small subunit ribosomal RNA", at positions 28 to 507 of the family's 1533-position model. The record is from RNAcentral.
GAUGAACGCUGGCAGCGUGCCUAAUACAUGCAAGUCGAGCGAACAGACGAGGAGCUUGCUCCUCUGACGUUAGCGGCGGACGGGUGAGUAACACGUGGAUAACCUACCUAUAAGACUGGGAUAACUUCGGGAAACCGGAGCUAAUACCGGAUAAUAUAUUGAACCGCAUGGUUCAAUAGUGAAAGACGGUUUUGCUGUCACUUAUAGAUGGAUCCGCGCCGCAUUAGCUAGUUGGUAAGGUAACGGCUUACCAAGGCAACGAUGCGUAGCCGACCUGAGAGGGGGAUCGGCCACACUGGAACUGAGACACGGACCAGACUCCUACGGGAGGCAGCAGUAGGGAAUCCUCCGCAAUGGGCGAAAGCCUGACGGAGCAACGCCGCGUGAGUGAUGAAGGUCUUCGGAUCGUAAAACUCUGUUAUUAGGGAAGAACAAAUGUGUAAGUAACUAUGCACGUCUUGACGGUACCUAAUCAGAAAGCCACGGCUAACUACGUG